This 326-nucleotide ribosomal RNA is filed under the name uncultured bacterium. RNAcentral's name for it is "bacterial SSU rRNA". It matches the Rfam family "Bacterial small subunit ribosomal RNA", at positions 28 to 334 of the family's 1533-position model. The record is from RNAcentral.
GAUGAACGCUGGCGGCGUGCUUAACACAUGCAAGUCGAACGGAGUGCUCAUGACGGAGGAUUCGUCCAACGGAUUGAGUUACUUAGUGGCGGACGGGUGAGUAACGCGUGAGGAACCUGCCUCGGAGUGGGGAAUAACAGCCCGAAAGGGUUGCUAAUACCGCAUGAGCCCACAGCUCAGCAUCGAGCAGAGGGAAAAGGAGUGAUCCGCUUUGAGAUGGCCUCGCGUCCGAUUAGCUGGUUGGUGAGGUAACGGCCCACCAAGGCGACGAUCGGUAGCCGGACUGAGAGGUUGAACGGCCACAUUGGGACUGAGACACGGCCCAG